RNAcentral lists this ribosomal RNA (489 nucleotides) under uncultured bacterium. RNAcentral's name for it is "partial 16S ribosomal RNA". It matches the Rfam family "Bacterial small subunit ribosomal RNA", at positions 28 to 507 of the family's 1533-position model. The record is from RNAcentral.
GAUGAACGCUAGCGGCAGGCUUAAUACAUGCAAGUCGUGGGGCAGCAGGACUGUAGCAAUACAGUUGCUGGCGACCGGCAAACGGGUGCGGAACACGUACGCAACUUACCCUGAACUGGGGGAUAGCCCGGGGAAACCCGGAUUAAUACCCCGUAAUAUAAUGGAGUGGCAUCACUUUAUUAUUAAAGCUCCGGCGGUUCGGGAUGGGCGUGCGGCUGAUUAGGUAGUUGGUUGAGGUAACGGCUCACCAAGCCUACGAUCAGUAACUGGUGUGAGAGCACGCCCAGUCAGACGGGCACUGGGACACGUGCCCGACUCAUACGGGAGGCAGCAGUAAGGAAGAUUGGGCAAUGGAGGCAACUCUGACCCAGCCAUGCCGCGUAGAGGAUGAAGGCCCUCUGGGUUGUAAACUUCUUUUAUAGGGGACGAAACCUGUGUAUUCUUACGCAGUUGACGGUACCCUAUGAAUAAGCACCGGCUAACUCCGUG